GUCCCUGUAGCGCAAUGGAUUGUGUGUUGAAAUUCUAAUUCAAAGGACAUGGGUUCAAAUCCCACCUGGGAUG
Non-coding RNA from Trichonephila clavata, 73 nucleotides. NCBI's taxonomy places the organism in Eukaryota, Metazoa, Arthropoda, Arachnida, Araneae, Nephilidae. The record is from the annotation of a GenBank genome assembly.